Long non-coding RNA from Sander lucioperca (pikeperch), 308 nucleotides. RefSeq lists it as uncharacterized. The record is from RefSeq and is a predicted model, not a curated record. NCBI's taxonomy places the organism in Eukaryota, Metazoa, Chordata, Actinopteri, Perciformes, Percidae. The transcript has 2 exons.
GUCCUUGUUGUCACUGACUCAACUAGAAGCACAACAAUAAACAUGAUUCUAUCUGCCAAUACAAACAUCUGAGAAACUAGAAACUUGAAAAAACAUAUUCCCAAAGCCUGAUGAAACAAAAAAGUAUAUAUAUAUAUAUAUAUAUAGAUAUAUAUAUAUAUAUAUAUAUAGAGUUGGUGUCCGAGGAGCACAUACUGUAGAGAGUAUAACCUUUGUAACAGGAUGUAUAAUGUUAAGCAGCUACUGCAAAAUCUGGGCCACAUACACUUGUUAUAUUGAUGCUUUCCUUCAAUAAUGGCUAUUUUACC